ACUUCCCAGGAAACAGCUUUCCUUUGUUCCUUUUUCCCUGACAAAAUCCUUAAUCUCAUUGAACUUUGAGUAUGCAGAACUUGCGGCUGCUACUGGACAAAUCGGUGGAGAUAGGGGGUGUCGAGGAGGGAAUUGUCGUUGACGGAAGUGGAGAGGGGUAAGGGGAUGUCGGAGGAGGAGAAAGAGGGGAUAAGGAGGAGUCCAUGAGCUUGAGGAAGUUACUGAAACAAUGAGGGCAGAGGAGGAAAGAGGAAGCAAAAUGAAAACAAGAAUUAUAAAUUGCUUUCCAAAUAAUUUAAAAAAAAAAAAAAAAACAAAAAGCAAAGAUUGGAGAGCUUAAAAAGAGCCUAAAAAGAACGACUUUGGAUUUUUAUAGACAUAUUUUGGUUUGAGCAGUUUCUCUGUCUGGUCGGCAAUCUGAGGUGGAGGCUACAAUAAACUUGAAGACGCAUAGCAUGUCUCAUUCUCAUGUGCCAGAGGUCUUCAAAACAAUUGCCUGAAUAAAUGGGGAGGCAUAGCUGAAAAUGUGAAGAGAGUUAGUGAGAAGCAAGAGGAAUGGGAAGAGUGGUGAAAAGAAGAAGAAGAAGGGAGGAGGAAGGAGCAAGGAGUUUGUUGUAUAUCUGCUCGCCAGGAAAAGUGCUGACUCAUCUCUUAUCAUUCAUCAAGCUUUCUUCACUUAGUUGCUCUUUUACCAAAUAGCCCCGUUUUAUCUCUUCGGUCACCAAGUAUUCAAGGUCUAAAAUGUACCACAAGAGAAGACUUUGGGCUAUCAAGGCCAAAAAAGGCAGCGUUUUCCCUCGCCACGAUCCGAAGCCUGCCGCAAAGAACCCACCUCAAAAACCUCCUAAGUUCUACCCCGCUGAUGACGUCAAGAAACUGCUUGUCAACAAGCGCAAGCACAAGCCCACCAAGCUCAGGAUGAGUAUUACACCGGGGACGGUGUUGAUUAUAUUGGCUGGGAGAUUUAAAGGGAAGAGAGUUGUAUUCCUGAAGCAAAUUUCAUCUGGCUUGCUUCUGACAAGACCGAUCCAUACGUUAUUUUAAGCCUAGGGGACCAAGUCAUACGCAGCAAAAAGAAUAGCAAAACCACAGUCAUUGGACCUCCUAGUGAACCAAUUUGGAAUCAGGAUACAAGCAACUAUAGAGCAUUGUCUGGUCAUAUGCAUCUUCUAUCAAGUCAUAUAAGAUAUUUGGUGAUGCAAUGGUGUUUGAUACCACUCAUUGCUUGACUGCAUUUGAUAUGCCACUUAGGAUAUGGGUUGGAAUGAAUAGUUAUGGUAAGCCUUGCUUCUUUGCUUGCUUGCUUCAACGAGAAGAAAAUUUGAGGUCUUUUUGAUGGGCAUUGAAGGUAAUAGAGCGAAAAUAGAAUACAAUACAAAUAUAUUCUAUUAGUCAUUUUGUGUAGAAAGGAAGUGGGUUUAUUGGUGGUUUUAUGUUGAAAUUAUGAUAAUACAAAUUUUCGGUAAUUAUGAUAAUAUAAAUUUAUUUGUUAGUCAAACCAUCUAUUGUAUGGUUUGUGGGUGUAAUUGUUGAAGCAGCAGGUGUAAUUGCUGGUUUGAAGGAUAAGACGUAAGGUUGGUCAUGCUCAUGACUAAAUUUUAUAUUUAUUACUCAUAUAACUUUAUGGAACCAGGUUAAUUAAUCUUUAGACAAGCAUGUAUUCUAUCAAACUGUUCUAAUAGUAUCAUCAUCACUUGCUUAUUCCCUUCUCUGUCUAUUACGAAGAGAAAACUAAUUUCUACUUACACUUUUGUUAUGUUAUUUAAUUUUAUUUUUCUAAAGCCUAGUUGACAAAUAAUCUGUUUUGCUAUUUUUGAAAAUAUAAAUCAUCUUUGUAAAAGUCAUAAACUUCAUAUUUAAUUCGAUUAUUGUUACAUUUUACGCUUUGAAAUGUUAUUUUGCAGUUGGGCUAGACAUUAUUAAUUAAUAUUUAUCAUUCUCUUGUUUCAUUUUGAUAUGUUAUUUUGCAGUUGGGUUAAACAUUCUCUCAGUUGGGAAUCUGUCUGUAGUACUUAAGUGCAUAAAGUGCAUGCAUCAACCCCUUUUUAAAAUGCUUGUUAGUGAAUAUUAGGGAGAACUUGGAAAAGGAAUCGUACAUUAUGGAGCUUAGGAAUCAGUGCAAAAAUUAUGAGAACAACAGAGAUGGCUGCUGUAGAGGAGAAGCUACAUGAGCUUGAGAGACAAAAGGAAGAAAUGUUGAGGUUCGGUUCCCCUGCUUCCCUUCUCCAAAGGCUUCAAGAUGCAAUGAACAUGACCGAUGAGGAAUCUGAAAAUCUGCACAAGCAGCUUUUUGUGCAGAUAUACAAGAAGCUUCGCACCACUUAAGCAAGUAUUCAUCUUGCAGCUAAAACAAAUUCACUCAGUUGAAUUGAUAUUAUAGAAAGAUAUAUACUUGGAACACAUUGAAAUCUUACUUCUAUUUUCAAUGCAUUGGCUAGAUAAACAUGAUUGUCUGUGUAUUAUUUGGUUAAAUAUUGUCUCUUUGCUAGUAUAUCAGUUUUGACAGCACUCGUUCAUGUACGUUCAACAUUCAUCGUGGUAUGGUAUUAUAUAGUUACAAUUUUAUCAGCUUUUGCCAUAAUUACAUUUACAUUUAUGAUUUUUAACUUGAAAAAAUUGACAGAUGCAGUCUAUGCUUUUUAGGCUUUAUCUGUAACUAAAACUAGCCUUUCAUUUUGAUGCACCGCUUCUACUUGUUUUGUCUUUGAUUGGACAGUAAUCUCAUAUUGGCUAAUCUGAUUAUGAAUCGACAUAAAUGUGAGUAUAACUUCAAUGUAAAAAGCUUAAAGUAGUUCCAUGUUUAAGGAAUAAUACUACUUUAAACAAUUACACCAUGGAUUUGAUACCAACAUAACCUUUUGUAGAAGCUGUAAUAUUCUUUAGUUUUUAUUCAUAAAAUACUUGUACAUUUUUCGCUUGCUAAUUCAAAUUUAGUUUUUAGUUUUUCUACAUGAUUCUCAUGUCAAGAUGAAGUGUAAGGACCCAAUUUCAUUAUUAAAUUCUCCAUAUUGUUUGAGAAGCGGAAAAGCAAGAAAUAAGAAGGAUGAGAAUUUAAAUGGAUGGUAAUUGAGUUCUCAAAUAUUGGCUCUCUAGUUUGAGACGAUUUGAACUUGUUUGAAUGGUAUGCAUUGAAAUUUAGUUAGUUUUAAAUUAGAGACUAUUCCCAGCUUGAAAGCUUCUUCCAAUCUGUUUUAAAAUGCGGUUCCAUGACAGUAUAUCCAUAAGAGAGUAGUCAUGAGGGAAUUAAUUGUGUAGUUGUGGAAAAUAUUUAAAUAAAUGGAUAUGAAAGUGUUGAAUAAAUGGAACCAUCUCCCCUUCUUCAUCUACCCUUAUUUCUCAUUAACUGUCAAAUAAAGUGGAAAAUAUUUAAACAAAUUAUUUUAUCAUCUCCCAUUUCUCAUCUACCCUCAUUGACUUCUAUCUCUCUCUCUUUCUCUCCCUGCUACCACAUUCAAUGAAUCCUGUGUGUCUCCCUCUCUCUCUCUCUUUUGUUAGUUACGUACCUUUCAGCCUUUCUUCACACUAACCAACCAUUGCAGAAAACACAGUUAUAGUCUUUAGUUAACUUUUUAUGCUUUUAUUAUGUGAUUAAUGUGUUUAAUAUUAUAUUGGUUGAUAUUAUAUUGGUUUUGUUAUAAUUUAGCAGUUUUUUUUCCUUGCGUUAGAAAGCAUGGUCUGCUAUAAUUAUCAUGAGGAGGAAGGGCAAAACUAGAGUUUGUAAUGUUUUUGAGCUGUUUUGUUUGCCGACAUGAUUAAAGAAUUAAUCAACAAGGGUUAUGAACGUCAAAAUAACACAGUUGCAAUGCAAACUCUUGUUACUAAUUGGUUGGAAAAUAUCAUGCAAGAGCGCUCAAAUAAUGGCAGAGGCUUACGUGUUAUUCCAUUGAACUUAUACGAGUUUCAAAUUGUUGGAUAUGGCGUGUUCAUUGGAGUAGUCAACUUAGAAAGUAAGACGUGCUCAUGCAAGGAAUUUGACAUUGAUGGAUUUCCUUGUGUCCAUGCAAUUGCAGCAUAAACCAUAUAUCCACUUGGAGAUAAAUGUCAGUGGCAAGCUCGAGAUGAUGUCAUAAACCAGCUUGUACAUCCACCUAAGAUUGACAAACAGUCAAGAAGACCAAGAAAGAAGAGGAUUCAAUCUCAAGGAGAGGAGCGUCUUCAAUAUAGAUGAAAGAGAUGCAAACACAUUGGUCACAGCAACCGAUCAUGCUAGGCCGUCGUACCUCUUGAUAGCACUACCAACCAACAGCACCAUUCAACCGAAGGACCAUAAAUUGCUCUACGCUAUAUUAAGACAAUGGGGGCAUGUUAUGCGGUAUGCGUGUGUUAUGCAAUGUAGUAAGGAAUGCAAUUAGUAGCUCAACCGCUAACAUGUGUUUUAGCAUAAUAGAUGUUGGUUUUAUGUGUUGUUUUGUUGGCAAAGUCACCUGUCAUAUUGUGUUUUUAAAAUAUCAUU
This is an RNA transcript of Ziziphus jujuba (common jujube), 4453 nucleotides long. It is a transcript of the gene named vacuolar protein-sorting-associated protein 37 homolog 1, with no coding region annotated. The transcript is spliced from 9 exons. The record is from RefSeq and is a predicted model, not a curated record. Lineage: Eukaryota; Viridiplantae; Streptophyta; Magnoliopsida; Rosales; Rhamnaceae.